UUAAAGUUGUUGAGGUUAAAAAGCUCGUAGUUGAACCUUGGGCCUAGCCGGCCGGUCCGCCUCACCGCGUGCACUGGCUCGGUUGGGCCUUUCUUUCUGGAGAACCCCAUGUCCUUCACUGGGUGUGGUGGGGAACCAGGACUUUUACCGUGAACAAAUCAGAUCGCUUAAAGAAGGCCUAUGCUCGAAUGUAUUAGCAUGGAAUAAUG
Molecule: ribosomal RNA, 209 nt
Filed under: uncultured eukaryote
Lineage: Eukaryota
Description: partial 18S ribosomal RNA
Rfam family: Eukaryotic small subunit ribosomal RNA
Source: RNAcentral